UACGAAGGGGGCUAGCGUUGCUCGGAAUCACUGGGCGUAAAGGGUGCGUAGGCGGGUUUUUAAGUCAGGGGUGAAAUCCUGGAGCUCAACUCCAGAACUGCCUUUGAUACUGAAGAUCUUGAGUUCGGGAGAGGUGAGUGGAACUGCGAGUGUAGAGGUGAAAUUCGUAGAUAUUCGGAGGAACACCAGUGGCGAAGGCGGCUCACUGGCUCGGUACUGACGCUGAGGUGCGAAAGCGUGGGGAGCAAACAGG
This 253-nucleotide ribosomal RNA is filed under the name uncultured bacterium. Its description in RNAcentral is "partial 16S ribosomal RNA". It matches the Rfam family "Bacterial small subunit ribosomal RNA", at positions 524 to 776 of the family's 1533-position model. The record is from RNAcentral.